CAGUCGCCGCGGUAAAACGAAGGGUGCAAGCGUUAAUCGGAAUUACUGGGCGUAAAGCGUGCGUAGGCGGUGAGUUAAGUCUGCUGUGAAAUCCCCGGGCUCAACAUGGGAAUGGCAGUGGAUACUGGCUCGCUAGAGUGUGUCAGAGGAUGGUGGAAUUCCCGGUGUAGCGGUGAAAUGCGUAGAGAUCGGGAGGAACAUCAGUGGCGGAGGCGGCCAUCUGGGACAACACUGACGCUGAGGCACGAAAGCGUGGGGAGCAAACAGGAUUAGAUACCCGCGUAGUCCCUGUCUCUUAUAC
Molecule: ribosomal RNA, 301 nt
Filed under: uncultured bacterium
Lineage: Bacteria
Description: partial 16S ribosomal RNA
Rfam family: Bacterial small subunit ribosomal RNA
Source: RNAcentral